AUUGAACGCUGGCGGAAUGCUUUACACAUGCAAGUCGAACGGCAGCACGGGAGCUUGCUCCUGGUGGCGAGUGGCGAACGGAUGAGUAAUGCGUCGGAACGUGCCGAGUAAUGGGGGAUAACGCAGCGAAAGUUGUGCUAAUACCGCAUACGCCCUGAGGGGGAAAGUGGGGGAUCGCAAGACCUCACGUUAUUCGAGCGGCCGACGUCUGAUUAGCUAGUUGGUGGGGUAAAGGCCUACCAAGGCGACGAUCAGUAGCGGGUCUGAGAGGAUGAUCCGCCACACUGGGACUGAGACACGGCCCAGACUCCUACGGGAGGCAGCAGUGGGGAAUUUUGGACAAUGGGGGCAACCCUGAUCCAGCCAUUCCGCGUGAGUGAAGAAGGCCUCGGUUGUAAGACGUCUUUCCUCGUGGGACGAAACGAAAUAGACGGUACCGACACGGAGGAAGCCCGG
RNAcentral lists this ribosomal RNA (456 nucleotides) under uncultured bacterium. RNAcentral describes it as "bacterial SSU rRNA". It matches the Rfam family "Bacterial small subunit ribosomal RNA", at positions 29 to 495 of the family's 1533-position model. The record is from RNAcentral.